Non-coding RNA from Cinara cedri, 218 nucleotides. The record is from the annotation of a GenBank genome assembly. Lineage: Eukaryota; Metazoa; Arthropoda; Insecta; Hemiptera; Aphididae.
AUGUAUGCUUAAUUUUGCAGCUAUUUAUAACAAUUAAAACUCUUUUAUUAUUUUCUGUGUCGUAUAAACCUCUUUUUAGAUGGUUUUUGGUAUUAUUUAUUUUAUUUUAAAGUCCUAUUAGGCAUAUAUUCAUUAGAGUUUUGUAUAAUAGGACUCAACGCCGUUGCGUAGGUAUACGGUAUACUAUGCGUACAACAAAAAAUCAUAAUAAAUCCAUA